AUGUAAACCGUCUUCCCCCAUCUCAUUCUCUCUGAUAUAAACCGUGAGUUACCCAUCUCUCACUAUCGCUCUUCUCCCUCUCAUUCUCUUCAACAUAAUCCAUCUCCGAAUCAGUAUUAUGGAUAUUGUUCUUCAUCAUCAACAAGGAAAUCACUAAAACAAUCACAGUGAAAAAAAUAGACUUGUUGUUAUCCUCUUUCAUCAGUGUCGUCUCCAUCUGAUUUCAGAUUGCAUAAGGAUAUGGCCCAAUAAUUAUUCUGUUGAUUUGAUAAACAUAUUUUUUUGAAUCUGCUCUACUUUUUUCAAAAUAUAUCAUCAGCAUUCAAUUCGAAUUUUGAGAAGAGGGACCAAAUUUGUUGGUAACCGUUCGUGAUAAAGCAGUUAUUUUCUUAAAAUGUACACACAACCAUGUUUUUUUAGGCCGUUGAUGUCAAAGGGAUACGGUUUUUACAGAUUUUUCGAAUCCUGGAUUCUUAUUGGCUUUCAUCUGAGGCUUAAUUUAUUCUCUUCACUAAAUUGGUCAUUCACAAUACUCCAAAAUCUUUUGAAGGUUUGUGCAGUUUGGUGGUGUAGACUGUAGACGACAACAGAGAGUGAAGCCCAAAAACUCAAAUGCCAACAUAAAGAUAGGCUGACAAGAACGGUGUUCGAAAAGCAGGUCUAAAAUCUCAGUUCACUUUGUGUAAAGGAGGUUCAAGACAAGCGAGUGAUCAGACAAGAACAUCUCAAUUGGCAAAGUCAAAGAGGAAUUGGCAAUUGGCAAUGGACUCACCGACUCUGUUCAAGAUGGACCCUGACUUUGCUUUCCUGAAUAAUUUAAUUAAAUCAUGAGAUUACCUCAGAAUAAUUUGGAUAGUUCCAGAGUGUCAAAAUGCAACAAAGAAAUGCGGUAAGCUCUUCAUAAUCAAAUUCAUGAUUUACACUUGACAUACUUUCUUCAGCUACAGACCUGAGUACAAUUUUUCUAUCGGGACAAAUGUUAAAGAUCAGAAGGAAUGAUUUCUCUUGCAGUUGCAUCAUCAGGUUCUUCCACCGGUUUUUUAUUACAAGUUGCCCAAUAUGUGUCCAUUUGCUAGCAUAGUGGAUUACAAGCAAGCAAGCUGUAUCGUAACAUUAGAUAUGAUUGAGGGUGAUAAGAGGGGAAUUGCAUAUGGGUGUAUUGGACUAAAGUGGACUAAGAGAAAGAGGAUACAGGCCCUGGGAAAAGCCGAUUAUGAAUAUUGCUUCGCUGGGUUGUUGGUCGAGCAUGUGAAAUGGCUAAACGCUGAAAAGACCCAUUUCAUGAAUGUAAAAAGGAAGGGGUGACUGCAAAAAGAGGUAAUAAGUGCUCAUGUGGGUGUGGGAAAUUUCCUUGGUAAAUCCCCCACUUUGGCCAGAGGUCAGCGUCUUAAGGUAUAUAGUUCUGUUGGUAUUGAUAUUGGCAAAUUUGUAUUCAGGAAAGUACUUUGUCAAUACUACUGUGACACCAAAUUUGCAACCAAACAUAUUCAAAUCAGCAAAAAGAGAGAAUUUUAGUUCAUUUGAAAACCGAAAUGCUAAAUUUGUUUUUUAAUGACAUAGAACACCCUCGAACCAAUGGGCAAUCAAGAUCUCAAUCACAUAACAUUAAUCACUUUCAUUGUUUCCAAACAUUGAACACCGCGUAUUUGUGACUUAAAAACACAAUGUUCAGCUAAUCACUUUAAAACCCAAUUCCAAACAGGCAAACACCACCUUUUUUGCUACUGUUUUGUUGUGAAUUGUUUGUUUGGAAGCUACAGAUUUUUUGGGGGUUGUUUGAAGGCUGUUUAGAAGGUGUGUUUUAGUUUUUUUUAGCUGCUGUUUGUGGGCAUGUUUAAAAUCUGUAUUAUAGCUGUUUUUUUAGCUGUUUUAGCUGCUGUUUGGGGGCUGUUUGAAGGCUGUUUUGUGCAGUUUUUCAUGGCUUUUUUGAGGCUAUUUUGCUGGUGUUUUUGGCAGCUGUUUUGAGGCUAUUUUGUGCAUAUUUGGAGGCUGUUUUGAGGCAGAUUUGAAGAUUGUUUCUAGGCUAACAUUGUCGCUCUUUUGAAGUCCGCAUGCCUUCACGUUAAAGAAAGAAAGAACGAAAUUGCUCAAUGCCUCCACAGACACCAGUGACCACAAACCCACCCAGUGUGGACUUGAACCUAUCAAAUAAUCUUAAUGAACUGACAUAUUGUGUAUGCAAGAAAGUGAGCUAUGGGGACAUGGUGGCAUGCGAUAACCCUAAAGUUAGGGAGGGAAUGACCUGGGGCAAUAUUUUCAAACCCAACUGUAUUAAAUCCAACAUUUCACAGUGCCUACCGAUCUCCCCAUUGCAAAUCAAAGAGGGAUGGCCUCAAGGAUACCUAUCCUGAUGAUAUUCUUGCACCAGUGUCGAAGGACUUUGAAGAUCUUGUGAUUGAGCAUUUUAGAGUUGGUGGUCAUUACAUUCUCAAGGCUUGUGAUGAAAGGCUAUCUAAUUGGGUCUCUAUAGAAGACACUUUUAUUUGUGAAACAAGUAUUCCAAAUGCAAAUUCAGUUGGUUUCAAACUAAUGUUAGCCAAGAUUGUGCCAAAAUUUCUAUCCGCACUCAAUGAAGUUUAUGUAUAUGAAAUACUACUUUUAUUUCAUUCCAUUUAAUUUUUACUUAAGACUAAGUUUGAUAGAUCA
Molecule: RNA transcript, 2646 nt
Organism: Erigeron canadensis
Lineage: Eukaryota; Viridiplantae; Streptophyta; Magnoliopsida; Asterales; Asteraceae
Gene name: probable ubiquitin-conjugating enzyme E2 23
Exons: 11
Source: RefSeq, a predicted model, not a curated record